CUCCAGCAGAUUGAAGGUACAACAUCUGAGGUCUGGUAGAGGACCUGAGCUUCUUCUUACUGAGGUGCAGUUUCCUCAUCACUGCCCUUUGCAUUGAGGCCCUCCAGACUGGACCGCUAUGGACCACUUCGUCUUUGGUUUGCAGUCCGUCGACCGCCAGUAAAACAAGGAAGAAGCAGCCACCGAAAAACAACGAAGAAGCCGCCGAAAAACAAC
Epinephelus lanceolatus (giant grouper) is the source of this 216-nucleotide non-coding RNA. The record is from RefSeq and is a predicted model, not a curated record. NCBI's taxonomy places the organism in Eukaryota, Metazoa, Chordata, Actinopteri, Perciformes, Serranidae.